AAUGAACGCUGGCGGCAUGGAUUAGGCAUGCAAGUCGAACGGGACACUUUCGGGUGUCUAGUGGCGAAAGGGUGAGUAACACGUGAGCAACCUGCCCCCCAGUUCCGAAUAAGCAGUGGAAACGCUGUCUAAUGCGGGAUGUGGAGCACUGGUCUCCUGACUGGUGCUGCAAAGAUUUUAUCGCUUGGGGAUGGGCUCGCGUCCCAUUAGCUUGUUGGCGGGGUAAUGGCCCACCAAGGCUCCGACGGGUAGGUGGACUGAGAGGUUGGUCACCCACACUGGGGCUGAGACACUGCCCAGACUCCUACGGGAGGCUGCAGUCGAGAAUCUUCCGCAAUGGGCGCAAGCCUGACGGAGCGAUGCCGCGUGAGGGAAGAAUGCCUUCGGGUUGUAAACCUCUGUCGCCUGGGACGAACACUGACGGUACCAGGAGAGGAAGUCACGGCUAACUACGUGCCAGCAGCCGCGGUAUCAUACUCGUA
This 482-nucleotide ribosomal RNA is filed under the name uncultured bacterium. Its description in RNAcentral is "bacterial SSU rRNA". It matches the Rfam family "Bacterial small subunit ribosomal RNA", at positions 29 to 529 of the family's 1533-position model. The record is from RNAcentral.